GACGAACGCUGGCGGCGUGCUUAGCACAUGCAAGUCGAACGGAAAGGCCCUGCUUUUGUGGGGUGCUCGAGUGGCGAACGGGUGAGUAACACGUGAGUAACCUGCCCUUGACUUUGGGAUAACUUCAGGAAACUGGGGCUAAUACCGGAUAGGAGCUCCUGCUGCAUGGUGGGGGUUGGAAAGUUUCGGCGGUUGGGGAUGGACUCGCGGCUUAUCAGCUUGUUGGUGGGGUAGUGGCUUACCAAGGCUUUGACGGGUAGCCGGCCUGAGAGGGUGACCGGCCACAUUGGGACUGAGAUACGGCCCAGACUCCUACGGGGGGCAGCAGUGGGGAAUAUUGCACAAUGGGCGGAAGCCUGAUGCAGCAACGCCGCGUGCGGGAUGACGGCCUUCGGGUUGUAAACCGCUUUCGCCUGUGACGAAGCGUGAGUGACGGUAAUGGGUAAAGAAGCACCGGCUGACUACGUG
RNAcentral lists this ribosomal RNA (468 nucleotides) under uncultured bacterium. RNAcentral's name for it is "partial 16S ribosomal RNA". It matches the Rfam family "Bacterial small subunit ribosomal RNA", at positions 28 to 507 of the family's 1533-position model. The record is from RNAcentral.